RNAcentral lists this ribosomal RNA (465 nucleotides) under uncultured bacterium. RNAcentral describes it as "partial 16S ribosomal RNA". It matches the Rfam family "Bacterial small subunit ribosomal RNA", at positions 28 to 506 of the family's 1533-position model. The record is from RNAcentral.
GAUGAACGCUGGCGGCGUGCUUAACACAUGCAAGUCGAACGAUGAAGCCCAGCUUGCUGGGUGGAUUAGUGGCGAACGGGUGAGUAACACGUGAGUAACCUGCCCUUAACUCUGGGAUAAGCCUGGGAAACUGGGUCUAAUACCGGAUAGGAGCGUCCACCGCAUGGUGGGUGUUGGAAAGAUUUAUCGGUUUUGGAUGGACUCGCGGCCUAUCAGCUUGUUGGUGAGGUAAUGGCUCACCAAGGCGACGACGGGUAGCCGGCCUGAGAGGGUGACCGGCCACACUGGGACUGGAACACGGCCCAGACCCCUCCGGGAGGCAGCAGUGGGGAAUAUUGCACAAGGGGGGAAGGCCGAAUGCAGGGACGCCGGGUGGGGGAUGACGGCCUUCGGGUUGUAAACCUCUUUCAGUAGGAAAGAAGCGAAAGGGACGGUACCGGGAGAAGAAGCACCGGCUAACUACGU